Nerophis ophidion (straightnose pipefish) is the source of this 74-nucleotide non-coding RNA. Lineage: Eukaryota; Metazoa; Chordata; Actinopteri; Syngnathiformes; Syngnathidae. The record is from the annotation of a RefSeq genome assembly.
GGCCGGUUAGCUCAGUUGGUCAGAGCAUGGUGCUAAUAAUGCCAAGGUCAUGGGUUCAAUCCCUAUACGGGCCA